This 431-nucleotide ribosomal RNA is filed under the name uncultured bacterium. RNAcentral's name for it is "partial 16S ribosomal RNA". It matches the Rfam family "Bacterial small subunit ribosomal RNA", at positions 29 to 507 of the family's 1533-position model. The record is from RNAcentral.
AACGAACGCUGGCGGCAGGCUUAACACAUGCAAGUCGAGCGCCUCGCAAGAGGAGCGGCAGACGGGUGCGUAACGCGUGGGAACGUACCCUUAUCUUCGGAAUAGCUCUGGGAAACUGGAAGUAAUACCGAAUGUGCCCUUAGGGGGAAAGAUUUAUCGGAUAAGGAUCGGCCCGCGUUGGAUUAGCUAGUUGGUGGGGUAAAGGCCUACCAAGGCGACGAUCCAUAGCUGGUCUGAGAGGAUGAUCAGCCACAUUGGAACUGAGACACGGCCCAAACUCCCACGGAGGGAGGAGGGGGGGAAUAUGGAAAAAGGGCGGAAGGCGUAACCCCCCCCGCCCGGGGGAGGAAGAAAGCCUUGAGGGUGGAAAAGCUCUUUCACCGGAGAAGAAAAUGACGGUACCGGGAGAAGAAGCCCCGGCUAACUCCGGG